ACGGCUCAGUAACACGUGGUCAACAUACCCAGAGGACGUGGAUAACCUCGGGAAACUGAGGAUAAACCGCGAUAGGUCAUAAUGUCUGGAAUGAUUUAUGGCUGAAAUCUACAUGGCCUCUGGAUUGGACUGCGGCCGAUCAGGCUGUUGGUGAGGUAAUGGCCCACCAAACCUAAAACCGGUACGGGCUCUGAGAGGAGGAGCCCGGAGAUGGGCACUGAGACAAGGGCCCAGGACCUAUGGGGCGCAGCAGGCGCGAAACCUCUGCAAUAGGCGAAAGCUUGACAGGGUUAUUCUGAGUGGUUUCCGCUAAGGAAAUCUUUUGGCACCUCUAAAAAUGGUGCAGAAUAAGGGGUGGGCAAGCCUGGUGUCAGCCGCCGCGGUAAUACCAGCACCCCGAGUGGUCGGGACGAUUAUUGGGCCUAAAGCAUCCGUAGCCGGUUCUGCAAGUCUUCCGUUAAAUCCACCUGCUCAACAGUUGGGCUGCGGAGGAUACUAUAGAGCUAGGAGGCGGGAGAGGCAAGCGGUACUUAGUGGGUAGGGGUAAAAUCCGUUGAUCCACUGAAGACCACCAGUGGCGAAGGCGGCUUGCCAGAACGCGCUCGACGGUGAGGGAUGAAAGCUGGGGGAGCAAACCGGAUUAGAUACCCGGGUAGUCCCAGCUGUAAACGAUGCAGACUCGGUGAUGAAUAAGCUUCGUGCUUAUUCAGUGCCGCAGGGAAGCCGUUAAGUCUGCCGCCUGGGGAGUACGGUCGCAAGACUGAAACUUAAAGGAAUUGGCGGGGGAG
This 788-nucleotide ribosomal RNA is filed under the name uncultured archaeon. Its description in RNAcentral is "bacterial SSU rRNA". It matches the Rfam family "Archaeal small subunit ribosomal RNA", at positions 85 to 876 of the family's 1478-position model. The record is from RNAcentral.